UGAAGGGCCGCGGUAUUUUGACCGUGCAAAGGUAGCAUAAUCAUUAGUUCUUUAAUUGUGAUCUGGAAUGAAUGGCUUGACGAGAUGCGAGCUGUCUUAAAUUUGAAUGUUUUAUUGAAUUUGGUUUUUGAGUUAAAAUUCUUAGAUGUUUUUAUGGGACGAGAAGACCCUAUAGAGUUUGACAUGUUGGCUUUCUUGUUUAUUUGUCGUUUGUUUUGUUUUUGAUAAGUGGGCUUUAUGUUUUGUUGGGGUGAUGAGAGGAAUAUUUAACUCCUCUUGGUUUAGUGGUUAUAUUGAUAUAUAUUUAUUUGAUCCAUUUAUUUUGAUUAUAAGAUUAAAUUACCU
RNAcentral lists this ribosomal RNA (345 nucleotides) under Heterotermes tenuis. Its description in RNAcentral is "partial 16S ribosomal RNA". The record is from RNAcentral. Lineage: Eukaryota; Metazoa; Arthropoda; Insecta; Blattodea; Rhinotermitidae.